This 162-nucleotide ribosomal RNA is filed under the name Opuntia bakeri. RNAcentral's name for it is "5.8S ribosomal RNA". It matches the Rfam family "5.8S ribosomal RNA". From Rfam's summary of the family: 5.8S ribosomal RNA (5.8S rRNA) is a component of the large subunit of the eukaryotic ribosome. It is transcribed by RNA polymerase I as part of the 45S precursor that also contains 18S and 28S rRNA. Lineage: Eukaryota; Viridiplantae; Streptophyta; Magnoliopsida; Caryophyllales; Cactaceae. The record is from RNAcentral.
AACGACUCUCGGCAACGGAUAUCUCGGCUCUCGCAUCGAUCAAGAACGUAGCGAAAUGCGAUACUUGGUGUGAAUUGCAGAAUCCCGUGAACCAUCGAGUCUUUGAACGCAAGUUGCGCCCGAAGCCUUCCGGCCGAGGGCACGUCUGCCUGGGCGUCACGC